Molecule: long non-coding RNA, 481 nt
Organism: Aphis gossypii (cotton aphid)
Lineage: Eukaryota; Metazoa; Arthropoda; Insecta; Hemiptera; Aphididae
Exons: 2
Source: RefSeq, a predicted model, not a curated record
AUCAAGCGUUCAGAGAUGUCGUCCGUGCGUAUACGGUUUUGAAUUAAAAAAAAAAAAAAUUAAAAAUAUCUAUUCGACAAGUGCGUAAUAUAAUAUUAAAUGAAAAGAAAAUAAUCGUGAACUGGAUAACAUUAUCAGAUUUACAGAAUUAUGAAGAUGGAUUGAAGAAAAGACUGCAGUUUUAAGAACAUUAUAUUUAUAUUUAUAUUUAACAUUAAAGCUUAAACUAAAAAAUUAUUUUAAUUGCUUAUGCAGUACAAAAUUAUUUAUUUGAUAUUGUUUAAUAACUUUUAGAAGAUUAAUGUUGAAUAAUUUAUGUAUUGAUAACUAUUAUUAUUAUUAUUGUUGUUAAGUACCUAUUUUUUUUUUAUUAUUUAUUUGUUUUUAAAUUUUAAUUUAGUUUUAAAUAUUGAUUGUAUAAUUAAGUUUAAAUAUGUUAUAUAAAAAUUCACACAAAAUAAAAAUAAUACAUUUAACAUAA